Molecule: long non-coding RNA, 1226 nt
Filed under: Ursus thibetanus thibetanus
Lineage: Eukaryota; Metazoa; Chordata; Mammalia; Carnivora; Ursidae
Description: lncRNA (ENSUTTG00000004161.1)
Source: RNAcentral
ACGUACUGGAGAACAAAGUACAGAAAAGAGGCCCUUGAUGCUACUUAGAAAGAAUGCUUUAGCAUACAUAAAUCCUUUGCUUUAAUGUGACAUAAGAGGAAAUACUUGACAUGUUAAUCAUUUGUCACUUCUCUUUCUAAAUACCUGCACUGUUCAAGUCCUCCCUGAACUCCAAAACAGCGUCUGUUUGUGAUGGUGACCCCAUGGCACAAACCACAAAGCUUUCAGUAUUUGACAUAGUUGCCUCUUGUUUUUAUGUCAAAACCAACAGAUGAGAAGAACCAACUCCCUGAGACUGAAAUGCAAGAAUUUCUAAGGUAUCUCACUGGUCUGGCUAACCGCCUUUCCUCUUUACUUCCAAUACCAUGGUGGUCAUAUUCCACUUCCUAUGAUCUUAGCUAUAGAUCUACUCUGUGCCUAUUAGGACUUCAAGUGAGUGGAGGUGAAUAUAAAUACAUAUAUUUUGUUUACAUUCAUAUCACUACAAGACUGGAGAACUAUUUCUAACAUUACCACUUGAGAUCUUAGUGGAAUACAUUCAAAAUAACACUAGUGGCCUAUAAUUCUUAUAUGGUUGAUGAAGUUUGCCAGCUAUGAAUACAUUCAUAACACUAGCGGCCUGUAAUUCUUACAUGGUUGAUGAAGUUUGCCAACUUGUAUUAAGAAGGUUAAUUUUGUCACUGGUUUGUAUAAAAAAAUAAUCAAACAUGACAUGAAUAAAAUUGACAAGAGGAGAUAUUAUUAGUCUUGGCUGCUAUAUUUGUUGAGUAUUCCUUUAUGAUUAUAUCUACAUGUAAGCUUAGUCAUGACCACUAACAUGUCCUAAAUUUAGUGACAGGAGCAGGAUUAGAAAUUUAAAAUAUAAAAUGUCUUAAGUAAUGGUUUCUACUUGUCAUUCUCAUGGCCUCUUUCAAAUUCCUAAGAAAAUAUUUCUGAGCAUGGGGAAACAAAAAAUAUAUACAUAGAUAUAGAUAAAAUAUUUUAAAAAGGCUAAUAAGCAGUAAAUUGCUAGAAUCUUAGACUAUUAUUCUUAAUGUGAGCAUAAUAAAAUUUGAGUGAUAAGCAAAAUCCUUGGCCCUCAAGUGUGAUUGAAGCCAUUGGAAAAAAGCAAGUGUGAAACUAGUAGAAGAUGGAGAACUUUCUAUAUCGCAUCCAUUAUAUGUUUCAGUGUUUCUACAGGGAAGUGAUUUGAAAUCUACUCCACUAUUCAAUUGGUGUUGCUGAAG